ACGGGGUGGAGCAGGCGCGAAAAUUUCCCAAUGCACGCAAGUGUGAGGAAGGAAUUCUGAGUGCUAAAGUUUUUACUUUAGCUUUUGCCAUGUGUAAAAAGCAUGGCGAAUAAGGACUGGGCAAGAUCGGUGCCAGCAGCCGCGGUAAUCCCGACGGUCCGAGUGGGACUCGCAUUUAUUGGGUCUAAAACAUCCGUAGCCGGCUUCUUAAGUCUUGUGUUAAAUUGUUGUUCUUAAGACAACACAUGCACAAGAGACUGAAAGGCUGGAGACUGGGAGACGUAGUGAGUACAGCUCGGGUAGCGGUAAAAUGUGUUAAGCCGAGCCGGACUAACAAUGGCGAAGGCACGCUACGAGAACAGUUCUGACGGUGAGGGAUGAAAGCUAAGGGCGCAAAUUGGAUUAGAUACUCAAGUAGUCUUAGCUGUAAACACUGCCCACUAAACAUCGUGAUCUCCUCGGGAGAUUGCGGUGCUGUAGAGAAGUCGAGAGUGGGCUACCUGGGGAGUAUAGUCGCAAGACCGAAACUUAAAGGAAUUGGCGGGGGAGCAC
Molecule: ribosomal RNA, 552 nt
Filed under: uncultured archaeon
Lineage: Archaea
Description: bacterial SSU rRNA
Rfam family: Archaeal small subunit ribosomal RNA
Source: RNAcentral